RNAcentral lists this ribosomal RNA (1077 nucleotides) under Triticum aestivum (bread wheat). Its description in RNAcentral is "partial small subunit ribosomal RNA". The record is from RNAcentral. Lineage: Eukaryota; Viridiplantae; Streptophyta; Magnoliopsida; Poales; Poaceae.
AUGGCCGCUACACAUAGCCAAGUUAUGUACAGCUACUGGAGGGUGCGAUUGGCUAUGUUGAUGUGCUUGUUUUUCCUAUAUGCAGAGAACUCAUCGGCACAUCAGAAGAGGAUGUUGUUAUCUGCAAUAGCAACGGUGAGCACAGAACCCACAUCAAACAUCAUACUCACCCUGCUUAUGUUUUAUGCUAACAAUUGGUACGCGUGCUUCACUAUAUGUUGGUGCCGUGCGGUCGCAACAAGGAGCCUCGCACCUGAGCCUCUCCUUCCGCCUUUCGCCCAAGAGGACCUAGAAUCUUUGGCAAGAAACCAAAAUCAGAUCACCAUCUCCACUACAUCAUUUGUGGAUCAGUCUUCUGCGACACCCGGGACAUGCUCUACAUCGAGGAGUACGAUGGCAAGCCGGCGAUGGCAUGACGAGCAGACGCUCGAGCAGGUGAGCGUCCACUCAGUGGGGGUGGUGGAGGGCGGUAACAGUAAUAAGAGUUGUCAUGCUAUCAGGUUAGUAUUAAAUCAGGGGAGGUACAUCAACAACAAGUUCAGCAACCAGUACAAGGCGAUGAACGGAGUAUACAAUAAGGUUACUGUUCUUACAGAUAGGAUCAGGCUGUUAGGAUCAAUAUUGAUGAAGUGCAGCAACAAAACAUGUUUAAGAUUCAUCUCUGCUGCUUUCCGUUUUACUCUUCUUUCGAAUGAAGAGAAUGAGCAGCCAGAGUGCAUCAUCCGCGGAACACCUGGUGGCAUCCGGUACUUUGGUGAGCUUGAAGACCACUGUUACUGGGGUAAUAAGUACUACGUGUGCACAAUCAACAAAACAUCUGCCAAGCCAGGCCAGCGCAUGUAUUUUCAGGUACAAUAUACUGAAGAGAACCUGUUGGACUACAUUGAUCCACACAAUGAUACACUCAUGGUCAGACUUGAAUAUCACAUUAUGCUAGGAACUGACAAAAGGGCCACUAUAACCACCAACUGGUCCGAGUUUCGUCGCCGUGCGAACAUUCGUGAAGGAGACAUCUACGCUUUUCGUUUCGAGGUCACUUCAAACCGCCGGCUGGUUCUCACUGUGCACCCCCUCUAG